GUUGUAUAGUUAAGUGACUAAGCGUACAAGGUGGAUGCCUUGGCAAUCAGAGGCGAAGAAGGACGUGCUAAUCUGCGAAAAGCUUGGAUGAGUCGAUAAGAGGCGUUUAAUCCAAGAUAUCCGAAUGGGGAAACCCAGUAGAUGAAGAAUCUACUAUCAACAAGUGAAUACAUAGCUUGUUGAGGCAAACCGGGAGAACUGAAACAUCUAAGUACCCCGAGGAAAAGAAAUCAACCGAGAUUUCGUCAGUAGCGGCGAGCGAAAGCGAAAGAGCCAGUAAGUGAUAGCAGUAUAGUUAGGAGAAUGUGUUGGGAAGCACAAUCAAAGAGGGUGAUAAUCCCGUAUCUAAAAACCAUAUUGUGGUACUAAGCUAACGAGAAGUAGGGCGGGACACGUGAUAUCCUGUUUGAAGAAGGGGGGACCAUCCUCCAAGGCUAAAUACUCCUGAUUGACCGAUAGUGAACCAGUACUGUGAAGGAAAGGCGAAAAGAACCCCGGUGAGGGGAGUGAAAUAGAACCUGAAACCUUGUACGUACAAGCAGUGGGAGCCCGAAAGGGUGACUGCGUACCUUUUGUAUAAUGGGUCAGCGACUUAUAUUUUGUAGCGAGGUUAACCGAAUAGGGGAGCCGAAGGGAAACCGAGUCUUAACUGGGCGACUAGUUGCAAGGUAUAGACCCGAAACCCGGUGAUCUAGCCAUGGGCAGGUUGAAGGUUGGGUAACACUAACUGGAGGACCGAACCGACUAAUGUUGAAAAAUUAGCGGAUGACUUGUGGCUGGGGGUG
Molecule: ribosomal RNA, 785 nt
Filed under: Haemophilus influenzae
Lineage: Bacteria; Pseudomonadati; Pseudomonadota; Gammaproteobacteria; Pasteurellales; Pasteurellaceae
Description: partial 23S ribosomal RNA
Rfam family: Bacterial large subunit ribosomal RNA
Source: RNAcentral